This 513-nucleotide ribosomal RNA is filed under the name uncultured bacterium. RNAcentral describes it as "partial 16S ribosomal RNA". It matches the Rfam family "Bacterial small subunit ribosomal RNA", at positions 28 to 523 of the family's 1533-position model. The record is from RNAcentral.
GAUGAACGCUGGCGGCGUGCCUAAUACAUGCAAGUCGAGCGAACAGACGAGGAGCUUGCUCCUCUGACGUUAGCGGCGGACGGGUGAGUAACACGUGGAUAACCUACCUAUAAGACUGGGAUAACUUCGGGAAACCGGAGCCAAUACCGGAUAAUAUAUUGAACCGUAUGGUUCAAUAGUGAAAGACGGUUUUGCUGUCACUUAUAGAUGGAUCGGCGCCGCAUUAGCUAGUUGGUAAGGUAACGGAUGACCAAGGCAACGAUGCGUAGCCGACCUGCGAGGGUGAUCGGCCACACUGGAACUGAGACACGAUCGAGACGCCUACGGGAGGCAGCAGUAGGGAAUCUUCCGCAAUAGGCGAAAGCCUGACGGAGCAACGCCGCGUGAGUGGUGAAGGUCUUCGGAUCGUAAAACUCUGUUAUUAGGGAAGAACAAAUGCGUAGGUAACUAUGCACGUCUUGACGGUACCUAAUCAGAAAGCCACGGCUAACUACGUGCCAGCAGCCGCCGCAG